GUGAUGUACAUAAACGUAAUUUUACAUGACGUAGAAACUUUACAACAAUACGUACAAGAAAAUAAAGCCUUUUAAAAGGGGUUGAAUAUAUAUUUUGAAGACACUAUAGGGUUAAUGUAGGGAUUUCACCCUUCCUAUUGAAUGCAUCGGCUAAUCCAUUCAGUUCCUUCCUUCAAUUAUGUUUCAAUUCAUGACAGAGAGAAUAAAUCUCCAUCGGGGGAGAGGGUCCUGGAGAAAGAGUGUACAGUCGCCGGCAACAUUAUCCGGUGACCCUCUGUUACUCAGGACACGACGACGAGACUAGGGUUACGAAGUACGACCAGGGUGAUGUGAGUGAAGUGACAUCCGCAUUUUCCGCCUGCUCUCCUCCUCUACUUCUCCGGCAAGGGACUCCUUAUCACUUUUCGAGAAUCCUUUGGUUCUAUUGUUAAUCAGCGAUUGAACUUCUGGUAUGGCCAAUGGAUGUGGUGAUGGAGAUUUUUUAGAUCAAAUCUUGACUAAACCCUUGAAUAUCUUAAAAAAAGGGUGACAUAUAUGUAUAUAUAUAUAUAUAUCAUGUAUGUAUAUAAGAUCAAAUUAAUGUAUAGCUGUAAAGUUUUAUAUUAACUGGAGCGAUUGAACUUCUGGUAUGGCCAUCUGAAACAGAGAAAAAGGAUUCCGAUCAAGAUUCUGACCGGAUGUCGCUUAUAUGGAGAUAGCCGUGCACGAUUAGUCGGUUUGUUGUUUAAAUACUCAUAUACAUCUUGCCUCUGAUUGGGUUCGGAUUUUUUUUUUCAUGUCACAGGUCUGGUUGCAAGGGGUUUUUCUUUUUGCAUUCUGAUUUCAUUCAGUCACCGUGUGGAUAUGAGUGCAUUGCCUCAGUUUCAGCUAUUUGAGAAAUGUUGAUAUCAUCUUAAAGGAGCUGGUUCGGAAAGCCAUGAACGAGACAAUGUUCCCGAGUUUAAAAAAAGAAGUGGAACGGGCUGCAAAUUAGUCGCUUGAAAGAAUGAAAAACGAAAGUAGAAAGGCCAUACUAAUGCCAUGGUCAGGUUCUCAGAUAUGUGAUUUGUGCUUUAUUGGUAUCCUUCUUACAUUGAAACGGGUCAUUUUUGUAUCACUCGAAAUGGGCCAGUCCGCAUCUACUACUUUUAUGGGUCUGUUUGAUCAUCGCAAACAAACCAUAAAAUGAAAUAAAAAAAAAGAAUUUCAUGAAUUAUAUGUAGAGAAAAACUUAAAUAACAACGAUGAAAUAAACCCUCUUGGGGAGCUGUGAGUUUGCUAGAUUGGUGAAGAACAUAUUAUUAUAGUAGAGAUUUUUAUGUUAUGUAAAUUUGACCUUCAUUGAUAUUUUGUUGACUUGAUUAUUGUAAGAUAAUGAAGACUUAGUGAGCUUGUUUGGA
Molecule: long non-coding RNA, 1379 nt
Organism: Helianthus annuus (common sunflower)
Lineage: Eukaryota; Viridiplantae; Streptophyta; Magnoliopsida; Asterales; Asteraceae
Exons: 5
Source: RefSeq, a predicted model, not a curated record